GAUGAACGCUGGCGGCGUGCCUAAUACAUGCAAGUCGAGCGAACAGACGAGGAGCUUGCUCCUCUGACGUUAGCGGCGGACGGGUGAGUAACACGUGGAUAACCUACCUAUAAGACUGGGAUAACUUCGGGAAACCGGAGCGAAUACUGGAUAAUAUAUUGAACCGCAUGGUUCAAUAGUGAAAGACGGUUUUGCUGUCACUUAUAGAUGGAUCCGCGCCGCAUUAGCUAGUUGGUAAGGUAACGGCUUACCAAGGCAACGAUGCGUAGCCGACCUGAGAGGAUGAUCGGCCACACUGGAACGGAGACACGGUCCCGACUCCUACGGGAGGCAGCAGUAGGGAAUCUUCCGCAAUGGGCGAAAGCCUGACGGAGCAACGCCGCGUGAGUGAUGAAGGUCUUCGGAUCGUAAAACUCUGUUAUUAGGGAAGAACAAAUGUGUAAGUAACUAUGCACGUCUUGACGGUACCUAAUCAGAAAGCCACGGCUAACUACGUG
This 497-nucleotide ribosomal RNA is filed under the name uncultured bacterium. Its description in RNAcentral is "partial 16S ribosomal RNA". It matches the Rfam family "Bacterial small subunit ribosomal RNA", at positions 28 to 507 of the family's 1533-position model. The record is from RNAcentral.